This 251-nucleotide non-coding RNA is filed under the name [Clostridium] leptum. RNAcentral's name for it is "Clostridium leptum T-box sequence". It matches the Rfam family "T-box leader". Rfam says of the family: Uncharged tRNA acts as the effector for transcription antitermination of genes in the T-box leader family. The record is from RNAcentral. Lineage: Bacteria; Bacillati; Bacillota; Clostridia; Eubacteriales; Oscillospiraceae.
ACAAAUGCGUUGAUAGGGAAGAGUAAUUUGGUUCCCGCUUUCAGAGAGCCGCCGGGUGGUGCGAGGCGGCAGGGGAGAAAAAUGAAAAUCGCCCUUGAGCAGCACGCUGAACCCCGAAAGGGUAGUAAGCGGUGCCGGUUCCCUCCGUUACCGGGGCAGCAUUCGGCAUUCGGCCCGAUGUGAACAGAGAGGCCCUGGACAGCAGGGCAAUAAGAGUGGUACCGCGGGGGAGCAAGACCUUCGUCUCUUAA